UACGAAGGGGGCUAGCGUUGCUCGGAAUCACUGGGCGUAAAGGGUGCGUAGGCGGGGCUUUAAGUCAGGGGUGAAAUCCUGGAGCUCAACUCCAGAACUGCCUUUGAUACUGAAGAUCUUGAGUUCGGGAGAGGUGAGUGGAACUGCGAGUGUAGAGGUGAAAUUCGUAGAUAUCGGAAGGAACACCUGUGGCGAAAGCGGCUCACUGGACCAUUACUGACGCUGAGGCACGAAAGCUAGGGGAGCAAACAGG
Molecule: ribosomal RNA, 253 nt
Filed under: uncultured bacterium
Lineage: Bacteria
Description: partial 16S ribosomal RNA
Rfam family: Bacterial small subunit ribosomal RNA
Source: RNAcentral